This 247-nucleotide ribosomal RNA is filed under the name uncultured archaeon. Its description in RNAcentral is "partial 16S ribosomal RNA". It matches the Rfam family "Archaeal small subunit ribosomal RNA", at positions 691 to 937 of the family's 1478-position model. The record is from RNAcentral.
CCGACGGUGAGGGGCGAAAGCUGGGGGAGCAAACCGGAUUAGAUACCCGGGUAGUCCCAGCUGUAAACGAUGCGCGUUAGGUGUGUCAGUGACCACGUGUCACUGAUGUGCCGAAGGGAAACCGUGAAACGCGCCGCCUGGGGAGUACGGUCGCAAGGCUGAAACUUGAAGGAAUUGGCGGGGGAGCACCACAACGGGUGGAGCCUGCGGUUUAAUCGGACUCAACGCCGGAAAUCUCACCGGAUAA